AAAUCUAUUAUAUAUAUAAUGCUGCAGCAAGGACUUUGAUGAGCCAAAAAAUUCAUUACUUGCUGGGGGAAUUCGUGCGGACAUGCGUCAGAUUUGUGGACAAACAGAUUUGGUGUGUGGCAGCUGGUAUUGGUUUACACGAGCUUCACCCUUUCGUGUUGUGUUAGGACUCGCUGCUUGCCAAGUAAACUAAAGGGUGUAUUCAAUAUUGAAGAAUAUGCACCAAUAGUUAUGUUUUCUCUGUGUUGGUUGCUCGGUUAGUAUAAACAAUAUAAUUAGGGCCGCUCCUGUUCUACAUAAUUGAUUUCAAUCCCCCCGGACUUGAUGUUCGUGGCUCUUUAGUUAUAUUAGUCAAAUUGUUUGCUGUGAUAUGCUAACUCCUCCAAUAUUAUAUUCACUUCCUGGAAAUUUAAAGAACAUCUUGAGUUCUCAGUUCUUGCAGUUUUGCAAAACCAACCUUUUAACUUGUGGAAGUUGCCUCAUUAUACACAUUUUCUAAAAUGUGAAUAAUACGUAUCAAAUGAUCUUUACAGUAAUAUACUUGAUCAGCUUUACAACCUAUGAAGUCCAUCGUUUGCCUCCAGUGAUGCUCUGUCAUAUUGUUAUUUUGCUCUCUCAUAUUCUAUUCACUUUCUUUCUUAUUGUCCCUUUUUGAUAAAUAUCAAGUUCUCUAUUCAAGAAACAAGAAAUUUAAUUGUAGCCGAAUAAAUAGACACAUCAUUUCAUGCUUGGCAAUCGGGAUGUUUGACGCUAGGCAGUAUUAACAAGAGCUCAAGCUGGAGCUUACAUGGUUUAAUUAGAGCCUUCUUUUUAUUAGAAGUACAACCAUAUUCUUCCUUUUGUUUUAUAUUAGGGGCGCUUUUUCUAAUUAAUAUUGGAUUUCCUCUGUCAGUAUUUAUAGUACCGGAAACCGAUGCAUUUGUUUAUUUUUUCCUUAAAAGACUAUGUGAAGGUGGAGAAUUGCUAGAUCUUAUUUUGUCAAGGGGUAGAGGAUAUGCAGAGGACGAUGCUAAAACCAUUAUUGUGCAGAUACUAGGAGUGGUUGCCUUCUGUCAUCUACAAGGUGUUGUGCACCGUGAUCUGAAAUCGGAGAACUUUCUUUUCGCAGCAAGAGACGGGGAUGCCCCAUUGAAGAUCAUAGAUUUUGGCCUAUCUCAUUUCAGCAGGCCAGAUGAACACCUCAAUGAUAUUGUUGGCAGUGCAUACUAUGUCGCGCCUGAAGUGCUCCACAGAUCAUAUAGCAUUGAAGCUGAUAUUUGGAGUAUAGGUGUCAUAGCAUAUAUGCUCUUAUGUACCAUCUGCCCAGGCAACGAGGCAGGUACUGAGUUGCUGCUUUUUAACUACAGCUGAAAUGAUGUGGCUUCUCAAUCUUCUUCGUGAAUAUGAUGUUUCUUUAUUACUGUAUGUCAUACACCUAUUAUAUACCGUGAUAACUUAAAUGUCACCCAUCUUAGUGUAAAUCCUAUUUUUCAUUCUAGAAUGAAACAUUU
Molecule: RNA transcript, 1490 nt
Organism: Daucus carota subsp. sativus
Lineage: Eukaryota; Viridiplantae; Streptophyta; Magnoliopsida; Apiales; Apiaceae
Gene name: CDPK-related protein kinase-like
Exons: 6
Source: RefSeq, a predicted model, not a curated record